UUCCUGCACUGAAUCCAACAAGUCCUUCUUUGGUCUCCAGUAGGUUACUGGGAACUUAGUAAUGGGGAAGUUCUGAACUCAUCUUUGCUCCAUGUGGAGCAAAGUCAGCCAUUACUAUUGCCAGUUAUUCUUUCAGAUGUUUUAAAUUACAGUUCUAUUGCUUUAUUUAUGCAUGUAUUUUAUCUCCAUGUGUUUCAUGAGAACGUGGAGCUGCAUGUCACAGUACCUUUUUUCCAUGGGUUAAAGGAAACUGUUCUAACACUCCCAGCUUGUGCUGGCCAGUCAUUCUCUCGUUGUAAUUAGCAUGAAGACUACCCUUCAGUCAAAACUAGCCACCUGGAAAGUUUCAGCUUGUAAUAUGCAGCUUUUUUUGUGAAUUAUGAAUGUGCAAAAAAGAGACCUUUCUCCUUACACCCACUUCCUUGCAUAAUUCAAAAUAUGAAUGAAUGAAUUUUAUUCAGGCUUGCCAAAAAAAUUAUAUUUCAGCUGAUAACAAGCAUGAAAAAUUUUAGAUGAAAGGGAUUAGAAAAAAAAAAAAGAAUAUUCUGAGCAUGGGAGAACAGCAGGUUAAGACAGAAGUCUGUAACUAUAACAAUUGCUAUCAAGCAAAUACCAUAUCCAAGCACUAAAUCUUGCUUUGUGCUGCCCUAGUGCACAGUAGCAGGGACAGAGUAGAAUAAUAAAAGCUGAUCCCCUUAUGCAAACAGCAGGGCAGAGCACUUGAGAGAAUACAAGGAGAAGGUGAGCCUGCCUGCUCUUCUGGCUUGCUAACCAUAUUCCCAAGGUCUGUGGGUUAGUUGUCUAGCUCCAGUCAGAUAGCAAAAGGUACUUCAAACACUAGCAAAGGGAAUGUUUUGGUCCUUUCCAGAAGAACAUUUUACUAAUUCCUUGCCUCCAAAUGUACUGUUCUAUUAAAUAAAGUAUUUGAAGGAAUUCAUAUAAGCAACAUCAUGGUUUAAUGGGUCAAAAAGGGAACAGAAUCAGUGCCAGGAAUUUUUGAGAUUGUGUAUUUUAAGAAUAUAUAUCUGUGAAGAAGGUAUUAUCUGUGCAAAGCAGAAUGAGAUUUGGGCUCAUGCCAGUACCACUUUGAAAAUAAACUAUCACAGUGAAGAAAUGUUA
Molecule: long non-coding RNA, 1119 nt
Organism: Zonotrichia leucophrys gambelii
Lineage: Eukaryota; Metazoa; Chordata; Aves; Passeriformes; Passerellidae
Exons: 2
Source: RefSeq, a predicted model, not a curated record